CGGGAUGUAGCGCAGUCUGGUUUAGCGCACCUGCUUUGGGAGCAGGGGGUCGUCGGUUCGAAUCCGACCAUCCCGACCA
This 79-nucleotide transfer RNA is filed under the name Synergistaceae bacterium. RNAcentral describes it as "tRNA-Pro". It matches the Rfam family "tRNA". From Rfam's summary of the family: Transfer RNA (tRNA) molecules are approximately 80 nucleotides in length. Their secondary structure includes four short double-helical elements and three loops (D, anti-codon, and T loops). The record is from RNAcentral. Lineage: Bacteria; Thermotogati; Synergistota; Synergistia; Synergistales; Synergistaceae.